UAAAUGGAGAUUUCCGUGGAUUCUGGGACAUUGGCCUCAAUGGACAGAAAAUGUUGCAUUUUGACUCAAGCACUAGAAAGUUGACUGAAGUUGAUUCUGAAUCCAGCCAGUUGAAAACUAUGAUGGGGAAAGACAAGGAAGUAACUGACUUCUUAUACAGGACCUCACAGGGGGACUGUAGGUCCUGGCUUGAGGAGUUCAAGUCACACUGGGAAGAAAAACUGGAGCCUACAGCCUCGCCAAAUGCUGCUCCGGAUGUGAACCAGCCUCUGACCUUGGCAAGCAAGUCCAACAUCUCUGUCCUGCUGAUGAUCCUCAUCUGCUCCCCCCUGUUUCUCUUAAAAUAUUUGUGAUGACAGGUUGAAGAUGCUGCAGAGAAGGUCGUGAGAGUUCAUCUGGUGCAGCCACUCUCCCUCUCAUCGGCCUCAACCAGAUGAAUCAUGG
This is a long non-coding RNA of Peromyscus leucopus (white-footed mouse), 444 nucleotides long. RefSeq lists it as uncharacterized. The transcript has 3 exons. The record is from RefSeq and is a predicted model, not a curated record. Lineage: Eukaryota; Metazoa; Chordata; Mammalia; Rodentia; Cricetidae.